GAUGAAGAACGCAGAGAAAUGCGAUAAGUAAUGUGAAUUGCAGAAUUCAGUGAAUCAUCGAAUCUUUGAACGCACAUUGCGCCCCCUGGUAUUCCGGGGGGCAUGCCUGUCCGAGCGUCAUUACAACCCUCAAGCUCAGCUUGGUGUUGGGCCCCGCCGCCCCGGCGGGCCCUAAAGUCAGUGGCGGUGCCGUCCGGCUCCGAGCGUAGUAAUUCUUCUCGCUCUGGAGGUCCGGUCGUGUGCUCGCCAGCAACCCCCAAUUUUUUUCAGGUUGACCUCGGAUCAGGUAGGGAUACCCGCUGAACUUAAGCAUAUCAAUAAGCGGGGA
RNAcentral lists this unclassified non-coding RNA (328 nucleotides) under soil metagenome. RNAcentral's name for it is "partial contains 5.8S ribosomal RNA, internal transcribed spacer 2, and large subunit ribosomal RNA". The stretch from base 1 to 120 matches the Rfam family "5.8S ribosomal RNA", at positions 35 to 154 of the family's 154-position model. The record is from RNAcentral.